AAAGCGGGUGGCUCCGCCCUGGUGCGGCCGGGCCUGCGGAGCGGCGUGAGGGGUACGGAGCAUGGAGCACGGGAAAUGGGACACGGGGCACCGUGGGAUCAGGGGUGCUGAGGGCUCGGAGUGUGUGGGGACGGCGGCACGGAGCGUGAGGGGACGCGGAAGCGGCUCUGGAGGCCGGUUGAGGAGGGUCCUGAUGACAUCUUUAUAUUGAUUUCUCCCCUUCUAUGGAGAAGGAAACAUCUGUGGGGAAUGUAUACCUAGGAGCAUGGCAUAGUGGUUUUCCCUUAACAGGAGAAGCCACUUUAUUUCUGUUAAGGAAGUAACAAAACCUCAGUUGCUUCAUGUUUUAAUUUUUGAGCACUGCCUAGAUGAGCUGUGAAUGUGCCUUAGGUUCACUAAAGAAUUUUUAAAUUACUUGCAAAUCAAGUCCUGGCAGUGAGAUACUGAAGAACUCCAGUGGUGCUGUUAAUGUUGAUGAAAUUGUACUGAGCAACACCAAAGCAUCCUGAGGGCAUAUGUGGUACAUGACUCUAUAAUCACAAAUUAGCAUGUGAAGAAGGAUAUUGGAGAUUUUUAUCUUCUGAAGCAGAGCUAAAGUGGAGGGAAAAUGAGAUGCCUGGCUCAGUGGAUUAAAUGUUAGAGAAGAUAUCUCUUAAUCUGGAAAGCCCAGAGUGGGGUCCUGUACUUUGUGCAGCAAACUUUGCUCUUGUAUUCUCUAAGCACUGUCACUGUGAUAUCUGGAGCACUGCUGCUCCCUAGAGUCAGGAAAACAACCUUCCAUCCUGAAAAAAAUCAGGUGUCAAGCAAGAGCCAGCCAUGUCACAGAGCUUUUCUUUCCUCCUGUGUUCAGUGGAAGGAUGUUUUGUUCUGAUAUGAAUGUGCUACAUGACUGGGACUGAAUAAUUGCAAUGUAAUGCUCAGACAUUAAAGAUUCUCAGCCUACAAAAUGCUAAUCUUACAUCCACUUCCAGCACAUGGAAAGGUGAAAGCAGCUUUAGUCUUGUCUCUCUUAUGUAAAUACAGCCCCC
Molecule: long non-coding RNA, 1028 nt
Organism: Oenanthe melanoleuca
Lineage: Eukaryota; Metazoa; Chordata; Aves; Passeriformes; Muscicapidae
Exons: 3
Source: RefSeq, a predicted model, not a curated record